RNAcentral lists this ribosomal RNA (470 nucleotides) under uncultured organism. RNAcentral describes it as "partial 16S ribosomal RNA". It matches the Rfam family "Bacterial small subunit ribosomal RNA", at positions 335 to 797 of the family's 1533-position model. The record is from RNAcentral.
ACUCCUGCGGGAGGCAGCAGUGGGGAAUAUUGCACAAUGGGCGCAAGCCUGAUGCAGCCAUGCCGCGUGUGUGAAGAAGGCCUUCGGGUUGUAAAGCACUUUCAGCGGGGAGGAAGGCAAUGCGGUUAAUAACCGUGUUGAUUGACGUUACCCGCAGAAGAAGCACCGGCUAACUCCGUGCCAGCAGCCGCGGUAAUACGGAGGGUGCAAGCGUUAAUCGGAAUUACUGGGCGUAAAGCGCACGCAGGCGGUCUGUCAAGUCGGAUGUGAAAUCCCCGGGCUCAACCUGGGAACUGCAUUCGAAACUGGCAGGCUUGAGUCUUGUAGAGGGGGGUAGAAUUCCAGGUGUAGCGGUGAAAUGCGUAGAGAUCUGGAGGAAUACCGGUGGCGAAGGCGGCCCCCUGGACAAAGACUGACGCUCAGGUGCGAAAGCGUGGGGAGCAAACAGGAUUAGAAACCCCUGUAGUCCC